CAAUAGUUAUAACUCAUGAUUAUAUUGUAAUACAACUUAAGGUAUUAAGUUAUCUAUAUUAAGGGAUAUGUCAAUAAUUAUAUGUGAUUACAUAAAUAACUAUAGUAUAAACAUACCUAUUAUAAAUAUAAUACCUAAGGGUAAUUGUUAUAUAAGUGUAUGAAUAAUUAUAGUAUUAAUUAUACCAUUACUAUAUGUCAUAAUUAAUGUACAAUUAUGUAUGAUAUUAUAACAAAUCAUUAUAUAUUUACACUAUACAAUGAAUAUUACUAUGUUAGUAUAUUUAGUAUGAUAAUACUAAAUAUAGUUACUAUAUUUAUAUAUUAAUAUACUAUAUAUACUAUAUAUAUUAUGAAAACUAAUAUAUGGUAUAAUGAUAUACUAAUAUGUAUAAUACAUAACUAUAUGUGAUGUAAGUUAUAUUAGAUAAUACUAUUAAUGUUAUGAUUACUUAUUACGUAUAAGGUUAGAUAGAUAUAUAAUAUAUCCUAUAUGUAUAUAAUUAUGGACUAUGAAAUAAUUUGAUAUAUUAAACUAUGAUAAUCGUAUCAGUGUAACAUAACUUAUAUACUCUUGUUACUAAUAUAUAGAUAUCUAAUAUUAUAUGCACUAAUUUAUAUCAAUUUACGGGUAUAACUUAUAGUUAUAAUACUAAUUACUAUAAUUAAAUCAUUUAAUUGGUAUAAACUAUUAUAGUUAUUACUUAUAAUAGUUUAUACAAUAUAUUAAUACAUUAAUUAUCACAUAUUCAGUAUAUCAAUUGUGAUAUAUACUAAGGAUAUGUAAUGAAUCCAUCUAGAUUAAUAGGUGAUAUGUUAUCAUAUAUCAAUAAGGUAUUGGGUAUAUAGUUUAUAGUAUCCAUACCAUAUGAAAUAUUAUAUAGAUAAUUCAUAAUUGGAAUAAUCAUUUAUAGGAUAUACAUAUUAAUCUAUAUGUGACUUGAUUAUAUUGAUGAUAUAGGGAUAUAUCUUUGUAUACAUUGGUUUAUAUCAAUGUAUACACCUCGAUAUAUAUGCAUAUAACAUAUAUAUUAUGCAUAUGUUGUUUGACAUAAGAGUAUAAUAAAUUAACUAUAGUUAUAUGGAUAAUAGCACAUCACUAUUAAUAUCUAUAGUAUGUUGUAUAGAAAUCAUGAUACAAUAUACGUAUACAAUUGAAUAUAGUAUAAUAAUUGCUAUACGAAAUACAAUAUAUAAAUAUAUCCACAUAUUGUACUUUAUUAUGGGUUAUCAUAUUUUAUUAUAUGGUUUACAUAUUAUAAUAUGUGAUUAUUUGACACCUUAAGAUAUAAUAUGUAAACCUUAAGGUACCUACAUAUUAUACUUGGUAUUAUACUGGUACAUUAUAAAUUAUACAAUAUUAUACAUAAUCAUAACUAUAUUAUUGUGUUUAUGAGUACCUAUUAUAUAUGAUAUAAUAAUCUAAUAUAUCAGUCAACUAAUUAGAUAUAAUUAUAAUUAUUCAUGAUACUUAAUAAUUAUUACCUUAUAAGUGUUAAUAUCAAUUAUGAUAUAAUUAUCUACCUAAACCAAUAUAAU
RNAcentral lists this long non-coding RNA (1538 nucleotides) under Nicotiana tabacum (common tobacco). RNAcentral describes it as "long non-coding RNA (NTAB_LNC006608)". Lineage: Eukaryota; Viridiplantae; Streptophyta; Magnoliopsida; Solanales; Solanaceae. The record is from RNAcentral.